GGAAAGGUAGUAUACGGGUAACUGUAUCGAGGGUUCGAAUCCCUUCCUUUCUG
This 53-nucleotide transfer RNA is filed under the name Chryseobacterium taihuense. RNAcentral's name for it is "tRNA_Leu_AAG". Lineage: Bacteria; Pseudomonadati; Bacteroidota; Flavobacteriia; Flavobacteriales; Weeksellaceae. The record is from RNAcentral. RNAcentral also lists the same sequence under 1 other name.